Molecule: long non-coding RNA, 1330 nt
Organism: Leptonychotes weddellii (Weddell seal)
Lineage: Eukaryota; Metazoa; Chordata; Mammalia; Carnivora; Phocidae
Source: RefSeq, a predicted model, not a curated record
AUUCUCUCUCUCCCUCUGCCCCUCCCCCACUCCCUCUCUCUCGAAAGAAAGAAAGAAACCAGAAAAGCAAGGAUUCCCACCACCACUCCACUAGCCUGACAGAUAUGUAAUGAAAAGAGUAUUAUCAUUUUAUAUUGCUCCAGAGUGUGGAAAUCAUAUCAAAAACACGAUUUUAGGUUAUUUAAUUGCCCUAGAUUUUGAAAAUAAUACCAUGCUGGUGGUAAGAAAAAGAGUACAGAAGAGGAUAAUGUGGGAAAUGAAGGAACACCCCCUUGGUGAUUUAUCUUUAAUUUUGCUUUCUAAACAGUAACCGCUGGAUGCAGUUUGCAUAAUCUCCAUACAUUUUCAAAGCCUGUUCAAGUGCAUUCACUUUUUUUGCUCAUAACAUUAAGCAAGCUGGGGGCGUUCCAAUAUAUCCUGAAGACGUGACAGCCCGCAGACCCACCUCAUUCUUUCUAAUGCCUUCUAGCAUUGCACCAUACUUAACCUGUCCCCUACCAGCCGGCAUUUCAGUUAACGCCAGGAUUUUGCCAUUAUAACAUAUACUCUCUUUGGCAUGUGUCCAAGUAUACUCACAGGAUACGUUCCUAGAAGCAGAAUGUCUCAGGCCAGAGGAUACGUGCAUUUUUUAUUUCUACAGCUACUGCCCAAUGCCCAUCAAGAGCGCAUGGGUGGGGGAGCCCGUUUCCACGGCCUCGCCCACCCCAGCAAGGAUGCAGUGUGUCAGGGGAAAAAAGUCCCAAAUGAGUUGCAGAUGAACCUGCCAGUAAUUUUAGUGAACGAGGCGUGGAGCACAUAAAGGCCAGAAGAUGGAAAACACUGCAGGUUUGAUAAAAGGAGUUCUGCUCGGCUCGGAAUCCUCCCUCCUGCUAGUCCUGCUGAGAUCUAUCUGGAGAGGGUCUGACGGAUUGAGGAAAAAGAAAUGAGACCAACGUUGAGUCUCCUUUCAAGGGCUGUGCAAAUAUAAAACCAAACAACUUGAAAUUGUUCCAAGAGGGGAUUAAAGCAACAUGUUAUUUGGAGUGAUUGCUUAAUUUAUUGAGCUGCGGCUAGAUCUGUAACAAAAUACAGCCCUCGCAACUGAUAACCUCCUGCUGCAAUUGAACUUCUACAAUUAAGGAACAUUUUCCAAGAGUUUCUCUGGAACGGCUUCGAAUUUUUAGUCUCCGUGGUGGGGUGCUUCUGAGCACUCCAUUUCUGGGCAAGUUUUUGUGUUGUUGUUUUUGUUUUUUCAAGAGUGACGGGCCGAUGUUAAUAAGGAAAGGAAGCAGCCUUUCAUUGAAUGCCUUGUCUUCACCAUGUGCUUAAUAUACAUUAUCUCUAAUCCUGA